Molecule: transfer RNA, 66 nt
Filed under: Coscineuta sp. OR249
Lineage: Eukaryota; Metazoa; Arthropoda; Insecta; Orthoptera; Acrididae
Description: tRNA-His
Source: RNAcentral
ACUUAAGUAUUUUAAUAUAAAAUAUUGAUUUGUGGAGUCAAUGAUAUGGAUAAUUCAUCUUAGGUC